CGAGUCCGGAACGACUACAGCAGGAGAUAGACGAGAGCACCCGGGAAGAGUCGGCGCCGCUAGUGCCGGGACCAGGAGCCUCCGCGAGCAAGAUGGCCGCUCCCGAGACCGAGGCCAGGGGGCAGGGGUACUAAGUCCGGACCCGCGUGCCCUUCUCCCGGCCGCCUGCGCCCUCAUCAAGACCUCGCGCUUCUAGCCAAGACAUCUACAUGGAUUAUUCUCGCCGUGGUCACGAGGCCGUUCCAAUAGAGCUCUAGUUGGCCCAGAUUGAGAACUCUGGCAUUUGGCUGCUCUGAGCUGGAACCUCCGGGAGGUCUGCUGCAACAGUGAGCACAUCAACUUCACCAUGUUGGUUGGUAGAAGAGUUUGUGGUGACCGAAGAGUGUACUCCGUGUUCUAACUUCCAGAUUAAAACGACACCUGAGUGUGGUUCUACAGGGUAUGUGGAGAAAAUCACAUGCAGCUCAUCUAAGAGGAAUGAAUUCAAAAGCUGCCGUUCAGCUCUUCUGGAACAACACUUAUUUUGGAAGUUUGAAGGCAUCGUGGUGGGGGUAGCUUUAGUCUUCGCUUGCCUUGUCAUCAUUCGUCAGCGACAGCUGGACAGAAAGGCUCUUGAAAAAGUCCGGAAGCAAAUUGAAUCCAUAUAGCUGAAUCUGCUGUGUAUGGUGGGUCCCACGGAUGCAUCUCAGAUGGAGAAAGUUCAGGGCUAAUGUGCCCUCAUAAGCCUUGUGGUAGUGCAUCU
This 742-nucleotide long non-coding RNA is filed under the name Rattus norvegicus (Norway rat). RNAcentral describes it as "long non-coding RNA NONRATT015481". The record is from RNAcentral. Lineage: Eukaryota; Metazoa; Chordata; Mammalia; Rodentia; Muridae.